GAGGCGCCCGGCUGGUUGCUAGCCGCCGCCACUCUCCCCUGCGGACGCCUCUUUAUUGUCACCCACGGCCGAGGCCAGCCCCGUGGGGCCCCGGGUGGCUCUGCAGUCGUACCCGCCAGGCCGAGCCCACGAGCCCUGCGCCCAGGCCGGCCCGCGCAGGGCCAGCCUGGUCCACCAUGAAAGGUUCACGGACCAUUAGUGCUCCCCCCGAAGGCAGCCCAGAAGGUAUGGACUUGAGUCUGGUUGGGCUCCCUCCACCCGUGUCCCAGCGGCCCAGCAGUGCCUCUGCUACCAAGUCUAUCGUCCGAUCUGUGUCUGUGGUCACGGGCAGUGAGCCAAGGAAAAGGGCAUUGGAGGCCACGGGGCCUGGGGGCUCUCGGGCUAUCAACAAUCUUCGAAGAUCUAACAGCACCACACAGGUCAACCAGUCAUGGGCCGGCUCCCCCAGGCCAGCAGAACCCAGCGACUUCCUGAUGUUCUUUGAGGGUGGCACCAGUGGAAGAAGGAGGGUGGCCAGUCUCAGCAAGGCACCCAGUGAGAAGGGAGCCUCGUGGAAUGUUCUGGAUGACCAGCCUAGGGGCUUUGCUUUGCCAGCCAAUGACCAGAGUCCCAGCACCCUUGACUCUGCCUUGGGCCCACGGAAGAAGGAGUGUACCCUGGCUCCCAGCUUCACCGUUAACAACAGGAGCAACAAAGGCGCUGUGGGCAACUGUGUCACAACCAUGGUACAUAACCACUAUGGCUCGUUGAAGAAGGUGUCACCCCCCAAGAGCUCCAACCAGACAGCCCCCUCCCUCAACAACCUCAUCAAGGCUGCAGCCCGCGAGGGCAGUGAGGGCAGCGACUUUGGGAAGCCUCGGAAGAACUUCUCUGGCGGCAAUCACUCCAUCAGGGGUGCCACCUGCCUGCUGAGGCGGAAGGAGGUGACCGAGGAGGAAGCUGAGAGGUUUAUCCACCAGGUAAACCAGGCCGCAGUCACCAUCCAACGCUGGUAUCGCCGCCAGGUACAGAGGCGCCGUGCAGGAGCAGCAAACCUUGAACACCUGCUGGCGUCCAAGCGAGAGGGGCAGAGGCAACGGCUGGGUAGCGGGAACCUUCUGGACCUACACCGGCAAGAGGAGGCGGCAAGGAAGAAGGCCCGGGAGGAGAAGGCUCGCCGGGCCAGGCAGGCAGCCAUUCAGGAACUACAGCAGAAACGAGCCCAGAAGGCCAGCGAGGCUGAGCGCAGGCUGCCUAAAGACAGACCCGAGACCAGAGCGCUAGGACAGCCUCCACCCACCCAGGAGCCACCAACGCCAGGCAGCAGCGGCACCCACCAGGCCCCCAAGGCCAACAAUGCUAAUGCCAGCAUCUGCCCCACAGGCCCUGGAGACCCUUGCCCUCCUGUCUCUGAGUCAUCCCCAGAGCCCCAGCGGCCUCCAGAGGACAAGCCACAGGACGUCCCUUCCCAGGAUGGAGCCAGAGAGGACUUGGGAGUGCUGGGCACUUCCAGGAGCAAGGUCAGGGCCAGAGCUACCCUGGAUGAGCUGCUAGACACACUGAGGCUACUGGAGGAGGAACCUGAACCGCUGCCCCGCCCCAAGACCUAUCACAAAGACAGAUAUGCCUGGACCGACGAGGAAGAUGACACCAACUCCCUGACAGCCGACAACCUGGAGAAAUUUGGGAAACUGAGUGCACCCCCAGGCCCACCUGAUGACGGGACUCUGCUCUCGGAGGCCAAGCUUCAGAGCAUCAUGAGCUUCCUGGAUGAGAUGGAGAAGUCGGGGCAGGACCGGCCGGCGUCCCACCGGGAGGGCCUGGUGCUGGAGGCGGGCCCAAGGCCCCCUGCACUGGGGUCCGAGGGGAGCUCAUCCAUGAUGCGGCUGAAGCUGGAGAUGGAGGAGAAGAAGCAGGCCAUGGUUCUACUGCAGAGAGCUCUGGCGCAGCAGCGUGACCUCACCAUUCGACGUGUUAAGGAGACAGAGAAGGAGCUGAGCCGGCAGCUGCGACAGCAGAAGGAGCACUACGAGGCCACCAUCCAGCGGCACUUGUCCUUCAUCGACCAGCUGAUCGAAGACAAGAAGAUUCUGAGCGAGAAGUGCGAGGCGGUGGUGGCUGAGCUGAAGCAAGGGGACCAGCGGUGUCGGGAGCGCGUGGCCCAGAUGCAGGAGCAGCACGAACUGGAGAUUAAGAAACUCAAAGAGCUCAUGAGCGCCACUGAGAAGAUCCGCCGUGAGAAGUGGAUCAGUGAGAAGACGAAAAAGAUCAAAGAAAUCACAGUCAGAGGUCUGGAGCCCGAGAUCCAGAAACUCAUUGCCAAGCACAAGCAAGAGGUGAGGAGGCUCAGGGGCCUGCACGAGGUGGAGCUGCAGCAACGAGAUGAGCAGGCCGCACAGCGCCACCUGCGCCAGGCAGAAGAGCUGCGGGAACAUCUCGAGCGGGAGAAGGAGGCGCUGGGCAGGCAGGAGCGGGAGCGCGCCCAGCAGCGGUUUGAGCAGCACCUGGAGCAGGAGCAUCGGGCCCUGGAGCAGCAGCGGCGCCGGCUCUACAAUGAGGUGGCCGAAGAGAAGGAGCGACUGGGCCAGCAGGCAGCCAGGCAGCGGGCAGAGCUGGAGGAGAGCAGCGCCACGCUGACGCGAGCCCUGCGAGCUGAGUUUGAGAGGAGCCGGGAAGAACAAGAGCAGAGGCACCAGAUGGAGCUGAAAGCCCUGAAGGACCAGCUGGAAGCUGAGAGACAGGCGUGGGUGGCCAACUGUACCAAGAAGGAGGAAGCGUGGCUGUUGACCAGGGAGCGGGAGCUGAAGGAGGAGAUCCGAAAAGGCCGAGACCAGGAGAUCGAGUUGGUCAUCCACCGGCUGGAGGCCGACAUGACGCUGGCCAAGGAGGAGAGCGAGCGGGCCGCUGAGAGCCGUGUGAAGCGUGUGCGGGACAAGUAUGAAGUGGAACUCUCCGAGCUGGAGCGGUCCGAGCGGAGCCUCCAGGAGCGGUGCACAGAGCUGAAAGGGCGCCUCGGGGAGGCCGAAGGGGAGAAGGAGCGCCUGCAGUCCCUAGUGCGGCAGAAGGAGAAGGAGCUGGAGGACCUGCGGGCGGUGAACACACAGAUGUGCAGUGAACGGGCCAGCCUGGCCCAGGUGGUCCGGCAGGAGUUCACAGACCAGCUGGUAGCCUCCCAGGAGGAGAACCAGAGGCUGAAAGCAGAGCUUGCUGAGCUGCGGGCCCACCAGCAGAUGGAGCUAGAUGAGGUUCAUCAGAGGUGGGUGGUCAGGACUUCAGGUGAGGGCACGGGGAGCAGUUGGUGGGAGCAGUCACGCAUCUUCCUUUCUUUCCCGCAUAACGUAGACAUAGCCCAUGAGCAGGAGCUCACAUGGCUUCCAGCUUUGUGCUCAGGAACACGGGGUGUCACCCCCCCCCGAGUGUCACUUAGUUCAAGGGCCCACGUGUACCUCUCCAGGGAGGUGGGCCAGGGUCUUGGCUGGAGCACCCAGAUUCUCAGUCCUUCUGAGGCUGUCUGCCUAUGUGACCAAUAGAGAGUAAGGCAAAGCCAUGAGGUGACUUCUCAUCUCUCUUGGUCUGCGCGGCGCCGUGCCCAGCCCCUUCCGAGGGCCACUUUAGCAUCUGGUCUCCUGGAGACAGUGGCCCAGGGCCGGCUGCUCAGGUCAGGGUCAGCAGGGCUGAGACCAAGCGGUAGGAGACAGCCCCCAGGCUGACCUGGGACUGAGGUCGGGGGCUGCGCAGAAGCCCACUGCACAUCAUCACAGGGUGAAGAUAGCUCUCGCGAGGAAGGAGGAGGCCGUGAACAGUCUCCGGAAGCAGCAUGAGGCUGCUGUGAAACGGGCGGACCACCUCGAGGAGCUGCUGGAGCAACACAGACGGCCGUCCUUGAAUGCUAAAUGACAUCAC
Molecule: RNA transcript, 3882 nt
Organism: Arvicola amphibius (Eurasian water vole)
Lineage: Eukaryota; Metazoa; Chordata; Mammalia; Rodentia; Cricetidae
Gene: Cep131
Gene name: centrosomal protein 131
Exons: 25
Source: RefSeq, a predicted model, not a curated record